GCUUUAGAAAAUAUAAACAGAUACAGCAAGGCUCUGAUUAAACAAGGAGAGGAUUUUUUAAAAUACUGUCAUAAAGUGUUAUCAGCGUUGACGUCAACUGUAUUUCACAAGUCAGUAUAGCAAUUAGUCAGAGGUGGGAAAAGUACUCAAAUGUCAUACUUGAGUAAAAGUAAAGAUACCUUAAUAUAAAACGACUCAAGUAAAAGUGAAAGUAACCCAGUAAAAUACUACCUGAGUAAAAUUCUAAAAGUAUCCGAUUUACAGUGGUGUAAAAAGUACUCAGUUUUCAUACUUGAGUAAAAGUACAAAGUAAAAGUAAAUGCUAUACAUCAAAUUCCUUAUAUUUAUCAAACCAGACAGCAAAAUUUCAUUUUGUAUAACUUUUUUUGACAGCCAAGGGCACACUCCAACACUCAGACAUGAUUUACAAAGGAAGCAUUUGUGUUUAGUGAGUCCACCAGAUCCGAGAGUAGGGAUGACCAGGGACGUUCUCUUGAUAAGUGUGUGAAUUGGACCUUUUUCCUGUCCUGCUAAGCAUUCCAAUUGUAACUAGUACUUUUGGGUGUCAGGCAGUAAAAAGGAUACAAUUUUCUUUAGGAAUGUAGUGAAGUAAAAAUAAAAGUUGUCAAAAAUAUAAAUAGUAAAGUAAAGUACAGAUUAGAGGUCGACCUCUAGUACAGAUACCCCAAAAAACUACUUAAGUAGUACUUUAAAGUAUUUUAACUUAAGUACUUUACACCACUGGAAAUUAGUAGACCUCAUUAAAAACAAUAAAACACUGGUAAAUGAAUACAGUCUAUUAAAAUACAAUAAUAACUAGUGAUAAAAGCAUAUGGCAGUUUAAAGGCCCAGUGCAGUCCAGUGGCGUAGCUAAACAUUUGUUGAUGGGUGGGCCUGCAGAAAUUUGGGUGUCCCCCCAAAUAAUGUUCAGUUAUAUAGCUGAUCUCAUGCUAUAUUACACAUUUUGCCAUGAGGCUUAGAGAAAAUGUUGCUGUUUUAAAGCUCGUCACAUGCUAUUCUACACAUUUUGCCAUGAGGCUGAGAGAACAUUUUGCAUUUUUAAAGCUAAUUAAAUAAAAAAUAUAGGUGUGUUGACUGUGAUAAGGGCACUGGAUUAAUAUGUUGUCUUGUUUGCUAAAUUAACAAAUGAAGUAGGCAGUGGCAUGGUGCAUAUACAGUUCAUUCGGAAAGUGUUCAGACCCCUUCCCUUUUUCAACAUUUUUACGUUACAGCCAUCUUCACAAUUAUUUUAUUUUUUUAUCCUCGGCAAACUACAGACAAUACCUCAUAAAGACAAAGCGAAAAAAACAUUUUGUUUUUGCAAAUGUAUUAAAAAUAAAAAACAGAAAUACCUUAUUUACAUAAAUAUUCAGACCCUUUGCUUUGAGAGUUGAAAUUGAGCUCAGGUGCAUCCUGUUUCCAUUAGUCAUCCUUGAGAUGUUUCUAAAACUUGAUUGGAGUCCACCAGUGGUAAAUUCAAUUGAUUGGACAUGAUUUGGAAAGGCACACACCUGUCUAUAUAAGGUCCCACAGUUGACUGUGCAUGUCAUAGAAAAAUCCAAGCAAUGAGGUCGAAGGAAUUGUCUGUAGAGUUCCGAGACAGGAUUGUGUCAAGGCACAGAUCUGGUGAAGGGUACCAAAUAAAUUAUGCAGCAUUGAAUGUCCCCAAGAACACAGUGGCCUCCAUAAUUAAUUUAAUAGAAGAAGUUUGGAACCACCAAGACUCUUCCUAGAGCUGGCCACCUGACCAAAAUGAGCAAUCGGGGGAGAAGGGCCUUGGUCAGGGAGGUGACUAAGAACCAGAUGGACACUGACAGAGAUCCAGAGUUCCUCUGUGGAGAUGGAGCAGAACAAUAAGGUCUUUAUGCAUGCUCAGAGAGAACAGAACACUAGGUUACAUGAUGUGGAAAUACAGAUUUGACUUCCACUUUGUAUUUUUUCAUGGUAUUUUCCAAUUGUCUAUCUACCAUUCAACAUGUAUCUACACUGAACAAAAAUAUAAACACAACAUGUAGCAAUUUUACUGAGUUACAGUUCAUAUAAGGAAAGCGUUCGAUUGAAAUAAAUUCAUUAGACCCUAAUCUAUGGAUUUCACAUGACUGGGAAUACAGAUAUGCAUCUGUUGGUCACAGAUACUGUAAUGUUCAGGCAUGACAGUGCAGGAAGACCGAUAAUUGUGUACGACAACACCAACCUAAUAUGACACCACAUGGUGGAUCAAUAGUACUACAGUCAAUACAGUGCAUCAGAAGCAACGCAACAACCAGCCAGCUGCCAACAAGCACACACAAAGGGCUAAAGCAAACAACCAAUGCAGGAAUUGUGGAGGCAAAUACCCACAUUAUGGAGACUGUCCAGUGAAAGGAAAAGAGUGCAAAGCUUGUGGGAAACAAAAUCCUUUGCAAAGCAGUGCAGCUCAAAACCAAAGCAGGAGCAACACAUGGAUACCAGAGCCAUUGCUAAAGACCGAUCAACCAAGUAGGUGAAACACAUAGAGGAGGUGGGAGGCCAAACUCAACAAGCAGUGAUGAUGCCAAGGUGUUUGUAGUUAAGUGACAAAAGCCUUAAACAGCCACAGACACAUUCAGCUAAAUGGUGUCAGAGUAGGAGUUCUGAUAGACUAGAGUAGAGUAGCAUAUCUGAUAGACUAUAGUGGAGUAGCAGUUCUGAUAGACUAGAGUAGAGUAGCAGUUCUGAUAGACUAUAGUGGAGUAGCAGCUCUGAUAGUGUAGAGUAGAGUAACAGUUCUGAUAGUCUAGAGUAGCAGUUCUGAUAGACUAGAGUAGAGUAGCAGUUCUGAUAGACUAGAGUAUAGUAACAGUUCUGAUAGACUAGAGUAGAGUAGAGGUUCUGAUAGGCUAGAGUAGAGUAGGGUAACAGUUCUGAUAGAGUAGAGUAGCAGUUAUGAUAGACUAGAGUAGAGUAGAGGUUCUGAAAGACUAGAGUAGAGUAGAGGUUCUGAUAGACUAGAGUAGAGUAGAGUAACAGUUCUGAUAGACUAGAGUAGAGUAACAGUUCUGAUAGACUAGGGUAGAGUAACAGUUCUGAUAGACUAGAGUAGAGUAGAGUAGCUGCUCUGAUAGACUAGAGUAGAGUAGAGGUUCUGAUAGACUAGAGAAGAGUAACAGUUCUGAUUGACUAGAGUAGAGUAACAGUUCUGAUAGACUAGAGUAGAGUAGAGUAGCUGCUCUGAUAGACUAGAGUAGAGUAGAGGUUCUGAUAGACUAGAGAAGAGUAACAGUUCUGAUUGACUAGAGUAGAGUAGAGGUUCUGAUAGGCUAGAGUAUAGUAGAGUAACAGUUCUGAUAGAGUAGAGUAGAAGUUCUGAUAGACUAGAGUAGAGUAGCAGUUUUG
Molecule: long non-coding RNA, 3354 nt
Filed under: Salmo salar (Atlantic salmon)
Lineage: Eukaryota; Metazoa; Chordata; Actinopteri; Salmoniformes; Salmonidae
Description: lncRNA (ENSSSAG00000108421.1)
Source: RNAcentral